CCUACGGGUGGCAGCAGUGAGGAAUAUUGGACAAUGGACGCAAGCCUGAACCAGCCAUGCCGCGUGCAGGAAGACGGCCCUAUGAGUUGUAAACUGCUUUUGUACGAGGGUAAACGCAGAUACGCGUCUCUGUCUGAAAGUAUCGUACGAAUAAGGAUCGGCUAACUCCGUGCCAGCAGCCGCGGUAAUACGGAGGAUUCAAGCGUUAUCCGGAUUUAUUGGGUUUAAAGGGUGCGUAGGCGGUCGGAUAAGUUAGAGGUGAAAUCCCGAGGCUCAACUUCGGAAUUGCAUCUGAUACUGUUCGGCUAGAGUGUAGUUGCGGUAGGCGGAAUGUAUGGUGUAGCGGUGAAAUGCUUAGAGAUCAUGCAGAACACCGAUUGCGAAGGCAGCUUACCAAGCUACUUCUGACGUUGAGGCACGAAAGCGUGGGGAGCAAACAGGAUUAGAUACCCCGGUAGUC
RNAcentral lists this ribosomal RNA (460 nucleotides) under uncultured bacterium. Its description in RNAcentral is "partial 16S ribosomal RNA". It matches the Rfam family "Bacterial small subunit ribosomal RNA", at positions 338 to 795 of the family's 1533-position model. The record is from RNAcentral.